Molecule: ribosomal RNA, 285 nt
Filed under: uncultured prokaryote
Description: partial 16S ribosomal RNA
Rfam family: Bacterial small subunit ribosomal RNA
Source: RNAcentral
UACGGAGGGGCUAGCGUUGUUCGGAAUUACUGGGCGUAAAGCGCACGUAGGCGGACCAUCAAGUUGGGGGUGAAAUCCCGGGGCUCAACCCCGGAACUGCCUCCAAAACUGGCGGUCUGGAGUCCGAGAGAGGUGAGUGGAAUUCCGAGUGUAGAGGUGAAAUUCGUAGAUAUUCGGAGGAACACCAGUGGCGAAGGCGGCUCACUGGCUCGGUACUGACGCUGAGGUGCGAAAGCGUGGGGAGCAAACAGGAUUAGAUACCCCCGUAGUCCCUGAGCGGGCUGG